GCACUCCCGGGGCGUCUCUAUCUCAUUGCGAGAGGAGGCGCACCUAGAGCGUACACGCUGAUACCCGAAAGAUGGUGAACUAUGCCUGGCCAGGACGAAGCCAGGGGAAACCCUGGUGGAGGUCCGCAGCGAUUCUGACGUGCAAAUCGAUCGUCGGAGCUGGGUUUAGGGGCGAAAGACCAAUCGAACCAUCUAGUAGCUGGUUCCCUCUGAAGUUUCCCUCAGGAUAGCUUGCGCUCGGUUAAACGAGUCUCAUCCGGUAGAGCGAAUGAUUAGAGGCCUUGGGGUCGAAACGACCUCAACCUAUUCUCAAACUCCAAAUAGAUGAGAACCCCGGCUUUCUUGAACUCUGUUUAUGAAGCCGGGGGCUCGGAUCAGAGUGCCAAGUGGGCCAAUUUUGGUAAGCAGAACGGCGCUGUGGGAUUAACCAAACGCGGAGUUAAGGCGCCUCAAUCGACGCUCAAUGUGAAACCAUGAAAAGGCGUUGGUUGCU
This 493-nucleotide ribosomal RNA is filed under the name Pinalitus rubeolus. Its description in RNAcentral is "partial large subunit ribosomal RNA". It matches the Rfam family "Eukaryotic large subunit ribosomal RNA", at positions 755 to 1232 of the family's 3401-position model. Lineage: Eukaryota; Metazoa; Arthropoda; Insecta; Hemiptera; Miridae. The record is from RNAcentral.